AAAGAUUAAGCCAUGCAGGUGCAAGUACGAUCGGUACAAUGAGAGACUGCGAAUGGCUCAUUAGAUCAGUUAUAAUUUUCUGGAUCGUACGAUCCUUACUUGGAUAACUGUGGCAAUUCUAGAGCUAAUACAUGCAACGAAGCUCCGACUGUAGUCAGUUGGAGGGCUUUUAUUAGUUGAACCUCCCGAGCUGGUCUCGUCGAUGGUGACUCUGGAUAACGCUGCUGAUCGCUAGGCUUUUGGCCAGCGACAAAUCCAAAAAGUAUCUGCCUUAUCAGCUAGUAGGUGGUCGACCUGACCACCUAGGCUACCACGGGUAGCGGGGAAUCAUGGGUUUGAUUCCGGAGAGGGAGCAUGASAAACGGCUACCACGUCCAAGGAAGGCAGCAGGCACGCAACUUACCCAAUCCCGACACGGGGAGGUAGUGACGAAAAAUACCAAUACGGGACUCUGUCGAGGCUCCGGCAUUGGAAUGAGUACACUUUAAAUCCUUUGCCAAGGAUCAAUUGGAGGGCAAGCCUGGUGCCAGCAGCCGCGGUAAUUCCAGCUCCGGUAGCAUAUAUUAAAGUUGCUGUAGUUAAAAGGCUCGUAGUUGGAUCUCAGCCGCAGAAUCGAGGUGCACUUGACGGUGUAUCCUUGUGACUGUACUACACGAGCCGUGUGCGCCGUGGUGGUCUUCACUGACCGCUUGCCGGUGUCCUGGCAUAUUUUACUUUGAAAAAAAUAGAGUGUUCACAGCGGUCCAUUCCUAUGGCCGCAUAAAGUUGCAUGGAAUAAUAGAAGAUGACCUCUGACUCAUUUUUGUUGGCUUCGAUGAGUGCGAGGUAAUGACUAAUAAGAGCGGCCGGGGGCAUUCGUAUUACGACGGGAGAGGUGAAAUUCUACGAUCGUCGUAAGACGGACGGCAGCGAAAGCGUUUGUCAAGUGCGUUUUCAUUAGUCAGGAACGAAAGUUAGAGGCUCGAAGACGAUCAGAUACCGUCGUAGUUCUGACCGUAAACGAUGCCGGAUGACAAUCUGUCGAAGUUAGAUCCGCAUGACUCGGCAGGCAGCCACCUCGGGAAACCAAAACUUUUGGGCUCUAGGGGAAGUAUGGUUGCAAAACUGAAACUUAAAGGAAUUGACGGAAGGGCACCACCAGGAGUGGAGCCUGUGGCUUAAUUUGACUCAACACUGGGCAACUCACCCGGUCCGAACAGUUGCGAGGAUUGACAGAUUGAAAGCUCUUUCUCGAUUCAGUGGAUGGUGGUGCAUGGCCGUUCUUAGUUCGUGGAACGAUUUGUCUGGUUAAUUCCGAUAACGAACGAGACUCUAGCCUAUUAAAUAGUUGUGCGAUACUUCGGUAGUCGGCAACAUACAACUUCUUAGAGGGACAUGUGGCUUAUAGCCACACGAGAAUGAGCAAUAACAGGUCUGUGAUGCCCUUAGAUGUUCGGGGCCGCACGCGGGCUACAAUGUUUGUAUCAGCGUGUAUCCUCCUGACCCGAAAUGGUUGGGCAAGCCCAUGAACUGCGAAUUCAGUCGGGAUUGGGGCCUGUAACGGUGCCUCAUGAACGCGGAAUUCCAAGUAAGCGGGAGUCAACAGCUUCUGUUGACAGAGUCCCUGCCCUUUGUACACACCGCCCGUCGCUACUACCGAUGAACGGUUUGGUGAGACCUCUGGAUUCGCCAGUGGGGCCUCGCGCUCCGCGUGCUGGCGAAGAAGUUGGUCGAACUUGGUCGUUUAGAGGAAGUAAAAGUCGUAACAAGGUUUUC
RNAcentral lists this ribosomal RNA (1755 nucleotides) under Cocculina messingi. RNAcentral's name for it is "SSU rRNA". It matches the Rfam family "Eukaryotic small subunit ribosomal RNA". Lineage: Eukaryota; Metazoa; Mollusca; Gastropoda; Cocculinidae. The record is from RNAcentral.